Long non-coding RNA from Solanum pennellii, 814 nucleotides. RefSeq lists it as uncharacterized. NCBI's taxonomy places the organism in Eukaryota, Viridiplantae, Streptophyta, Magnoliopsida, Solanales, Solanaceae. The record is from RefSeq and is a predicted model, not a curated record. The transcript is spliced from 2 exons.
UUAUUUUUUCAUGUUGUGAAAAUUUGGGUGAUGGCUUCAACCAUUAAUAUCUACUCAAAAGGACUAAUCAUUGUGAUCCUCAUCUAUUCUUUCACAUUACUUGCAUUUAUAUCAGGUACUAAUUGGAAAGUUCAUUCUUUAAGUAUAUCUGAAUUAUCACUUUUUUUUGUAAGUUUACUCUCUUGUAAGUUUCGUAUUUAUUUUAAUUUUCUAUCUGAACUAUCACUAUCUAUGUAUUAACGUGACAUCUAGGUAAUAGUUCAAAUAGAAAAAGUGAACAAUUGAUAAUUAGCCUAAUCAGCUUUGAGGUGUGUUUUAAUACAUAGAUAAUGACAGUUCAGAUAGAAAAGACACACGUAAUAUUUGGGAUGUAAAGCUCGCGAAAAAUGAUGUUUUUGACCAUCAGGACUAUUAAUUAAUAUUUAAUAGUUUGUUACUAUAUGUUGUUGCUUUCCACUUGAACUACUAUUUAUAAUGUUAAAUUUUUUUUAAAAAACUAUACUUUACAUAUAUACUAAAUGAAUCUUAGUGCAUCAACAUGAUAGUGGGUGUAUUGACUCUGCCUUUUGUUAUUUACUUAAAAUUCUAGAUUCGUCUUUGAAGUUUAAAAAUAAUUUAAUUUAUAAGAAGUUACAUUACGACUUUAUGUUUAUAUGGCUAAAUAAGAAGCAUAUGUUAAUCCUAACGCGUGAUGAUUUAUGCACGGGAACAUAAGAUCAAAUAUAAUAUGUUUUUUUUUUAAUUUCUCGUGAGCCACUUAUUUCUCCGAAAAAAGAAAAAGAGAGGUUGAAAUUGAAAUUGUUGUGUAUGUUAA